Ictidomys tridecemlineatus (thirteen-lined ground squirrel) is the source of this 864-nucleotide non-coding RNA. NCBI's taxonomy places the organism in Eukaryota, Metazoa, Chordata, Mammalia, Rodentia, Sciuridae. The record is from RefSeq and is a predicted model, not a curated record.
GCUCCAACUCCAGCACUUUCUCCAGAUCCGCCUUGGCCUCCGCCGCGUUCCACACCUCGGCGUGAGCCCGGGCACGCACGUAGUAGGCUUUCGCGAUGCCUGCGGGGAGGAUCCGCGCUGCACCCAGCUGCCGGGUUCCCCAAAACUGCAGAAUCUGAAGGUCCUAACCUGACACUACCCCACACGGUGACUAUGGGAAUGAGGAAAUUGAUUGCCUGCUUCUUUAAAAAGCCUGAUGACUACUCCACAAAAUCACUGGUGACCCUGUGACCCUGGGCCGGACACCCCUCCACCUGUUGGGACGCCCCGCCCCGUGACCCGCACCUGGGUGAUGGCGGAGGAUGUCGCUGGUGUGCUCCAGCACCUCGUAGUACUCCUCCUUCUUCAGCAGACACUGGCAGUAGUUGAGGAUCAAGGUGUUGAUCAUCUUUUCCAGUUUCAGCCACUGCACAUCCCAGGGCUUCUCCUGCCCAGUGCAGAAAAUCAGCCUUGAGCUUGGGCAGCCAAAGGACCCCCUCCUCCCCAAUUUACCGCAGCCGGGGCAGGACUAUUCCUCCAGAGCCAACCUCACCUCCCGCCCUAGAGGGCAGCCUCCCACCUUGGUCUGCAGGUUCCGCAGGCACACGAUAGCUUCCUGGUACUUGGAGGAAGCAUCCUCAUAGCGGCCAAGCUUGAAGAGCCGGUUUCCUUCUCCGUGAAGGAUGGGUACUGCCUGCAUCUUCUCUUGGUUGUUCAAGUUCCACGUCUCCCGCUGAUACUCGCUCGGGGCCUCAACCUGACCCAAGAACUGCGGGUGGCGCUGAGAAUCGAACCCAUUGCCUCGUAUAUGCUAGACAAGCGCUGUACCACUGAGCCACAACCCCA